UGUGUACUCCCUCCGUUCCAAAAUACUUGACUUCCAUUUGUCCAAAAAUGGAUGUACCUAUAUACUAAGACAUGUCUAGAUACAUAUAUAUUUUGACAAAUAGAAGACAUGUAGUAUUGUGCAACGGAGGGAGUAGAAU
Non-coding RNA from Triticum aestivum (bread wheat), 139 nucleotides. NCBI's taxonomy places the organism in Eukaryota, Viridiplantae, Streptophyta, Magnoliopsida, Poales, Poaceae. The record is from Rfam.